GAGGAAGUCGACCUGAACAAACCGACGGCCGCGGUCAACCUGUGGACAACCAAUCAUCAACAAAACAAAAACUAUUCAGGAGGGAAAAGAAUAGAAAAUAAACCGCCCAGUUUAGCAAUUGAGGUCGUCAAUGUUUUGGGUCUCCGCCCCUAAACAGAUUGCCGCAAUGUGGAUGCGAUGGAAGAGGAGAGAAGAGAGAAGAAAAAAAAAGACUGUCGACAAACUAACGACAGAAAUCAUAAAAAUAGAGGGACCCAAAAGAGCGAGCGAUUCGUUCAACCACGUCCCCGUUAUGACUCAUUAAGGACGUGUUUAAAAACCGUAAGACUCUCUCCUUCUCUGGCGAGCGGCCGUUCAACUGUAUCGACUUUUAGUUAAGAGAAACGAUACAUUAUAUUGUCUCGUCUCUCUCUCUCUCUUUCUCUCUAUUGCCUUGAGUGUUGUAUAUAAAAAAGAAUAAUAACUAUCCCAACGGUUGCGUCAGAUGGACGUGGUGGUGGUAGCUGUGGUGAUGGCAUUGAUUUUUCUUUUUAUUUGUUUUCCCUCUUUAUUUGCCGCUGGUUCUCCUUUUAUGUUUUUUGGGGGGGAAGCUCAUUUUCUCACAGUUGCCGAUAUCUUUCGCUUCCAAUUGGAUUGGCAUUGGAUUGUGAGCUGGGCCUUGACAGUCAAGUGAGAGCCCAAGCUGCUGAGACUCGUGGGAGAGACUCCGGGAACAAGUAAACCGAAUCAAGGUUGGUUUUUCCUACCGACUGCCACGGUGGAAGAGGAAGACUGACUUUUUCACAGAGACACAGAGAGA
Long non-coding RNA from Daphnia pulicaria, 799 nucleotides. RefSeq lists it as uncharacterized. Lineage: Eukaryota; Metazoa; Arthropoda; Branchiopoda; Diplostraca; Daphniidae. The record is from RefSeq and is a predicted model, not a curated record. The transcript has 2 exons.